CGUACUUAGUCUUGCUCUUCGUUUAGUCACCCCGCGCAGCGCACAGCCAUAACAGCCACAGCCCGCAGCCCGGCUUGCGCACCAUGUCCUUGCGGUCAUGUGCGUAACACUAUGAAGGUCGGCAGCCAACCAGGGGGCGGGUGUUGUUUCUCUGGGUCGCAGAUGGCCCUUCGCGGCGUGGGUACGGCGUGCCCCCGCUUGUCGGGCUGUCCCUUCAAUUGUAAUCCGCAUCCUUGCGGUUGCUUUGGGGUUGACGUUGCUUGCCUCGCGCCUAGCGCCAUAGCUUCUACGCUGCAGUGCAUCACGCCUCCUGUCCCUCCCUCCCUCCCUUACAUGUCGUGCUGGGCACCGGUGGCGCUGGUGUUCUCCAGGUUGGGCGCAUCCUUUCUGGUAGUCCCAACGCCAGCCCGGCCGGCGUCGUCCAGCCCAGCCAUCCCAAUACAGCAGCCACCUUCCGUC
RNAcentral lists this long non-coding RNA (459 nucleotides) under Chlamydomonas reinhardtii. RNAcentral describes it as "long non-coding RNA (CREI_LNC000792)". The record is from RNAcentral. Lineage: Eukaryota; Viridiplantae; Chlorophyta; Chlorophyceae; Chlamydomonadales; Chlamydomonadaceae.